This 2639-nucleotide long non-coding RNA is filed under the name Marmota monax (woodchuck). Lineage: Eukaryota; Metazoa; Chordata; Mammalia; Rodentia; Sciuridae. The record is from RNAcentral.
GUCCUCCUCAUCCCACAGGCAGGCAGGGGCCCAGCGGGAGGUGCAGAGGGAAGCUCAGGGCCACAUCAGCAUGUCCCAGUGUCAGGUGGAGUGAGCAAGGUGAGAUCUGGUCAAGGGGGAGUGGCAGGGGAGGUGGCUGCCAAGGUGUGGGGCUGCCACAGCAGAGGAAACCGUGGGAAGGAUUGUCCAGGGAGAGCCGUGGGACUGGACGGGGGAGGAAGCCCAAGGCUGGCAGGGAGAAGCCCAGAAGUGGGGAACCCCUGCCCAGGAGCUGGCCCUGCAUCAGGCUGCUCCAGGGCCCGAGAGGAAUGGGCCACCUUGGGUCUUGGUGUCAUAGCACCAACUGCUGCAUGGAGGGCAGGAAAAGCACCGUGGUUCUGGGAUCCAGUGUGAUGGGCUUCAGCACCACCCUGGUUUCCACAGAUGGAGCAAGCAAGCAAGAGAAUCUGCACUCGACCAAAAUGCACCGUGCCACACCAAAUGCAGCGAGGCAGGCCCACACGCUUCUUUGCAUAUUUAAUGAUUAUUGACUUUUUAAAUUGGUUUUAAAAUAAAACAGCUUCUGGGUGAAUGCAGACGUGCGAGGGUGGCUGAAGGGGUGGCUGAAGGGGUGACCGGUCCCCACCUCCUGCAGUCAUCCCCCUUCCACGCCUCAAGCUCACCUUUCCCCCAAUUUCCCAUAAACAUGUAUUUUCAGUGCAAAUUGUUUCACAACCGAACGUGCUGUAGAUAGAGUCGGGUGGCACAGUGAACAGGCUUUUCAUAAACAAGGGGACUGUGAGGCGCUGCGGUGCCAUCAGAUAGCCAGCUGCCUUCUGCAGGGAGCCCAGCCUGCUGCUCUACAUAAUAAGAACAUAAAGAGUCGCAUUUUAUUGAUAUGUGAACAGUUUAUUGCUUUCUGUGAUUUAACAUCUUUACCAAAUGUGGUGGAUUAGACUCUCCAUUUCAUUAAAGCAGGAUUGCUGGCCCUGUUUCAUUAUCGCUGUUCUGAUCCUCAAGGAGAAAAAAAUCUUGCACACAGCUUUUAGCUACUUAAUUAUUAUGGUGGGCAGCGAUCGCAAAAUCCACACGGAACUCUCUUUGUAGAAAUACACAAAGAGCGUGGUUUUCUGCAUAAGGAGUGGAGACAGCAGAAGACUCUCUCCUUCUGCUGAUGAAUAGAUGGCCUCAGUGGGCACCGUCUUUCAGCUCACAUGCGUUUUGGAGACCUUGUUGGUUCUGGGCCGGGUGAUGGUUUGUACUGAUGUGCACUGACUCACAGUCAGACACAACCGAAACAAACAAACAAGACCCCUAUUUCAUGGAUGGAAAGAUGGAGAACGUCAGUGUCACAACUCUCCCAGGAAGAGUCACGGUCCAACAGGAGACCAGAGGAGGGUUUACGACCCUCCUAACUGACCAUUCGUUUCCACCCAGGAGCUUUUGAAGACAUGGCGGCGGUCUCAGUUCCCCCUCAGGGAUACCAAAGUGACUUUCUGCUUUUCCUCUCUCCUCAGGCUCCCAGGAGAAACUUGCUUGUCCCUCCUGCAUGUGCCUUUCCUCCCCCACCCCUUGCCUCUGGGGCAGCCGCACUCCGGCAGCACAACUGGCCGCCUCAAGUCCAGGGGGCCAUGCUGCCGUGGCACCGAGGGGCACACUGUCUGAUGCGCCUCAUCUUUUCUGUGCACAUGGGCAACGGACAACUCAGCGGCCACGGUAACCACGGAGAUGCCUCCAGAAGGUGGAGAACCCACCCCACAGGGCUGUGGCACACAAAAGACACCACUGUGCAGAGCCAGAUGCCCUUCCCAGCUGGACAGCACCCUGGCACGCCAGCCACGCUCUCUGGGAUCAGAAGUGGAAUACUAAGGGGGCUCUCCUGGUCACAUGUCGUCCUCCAAGGUUCUCCACUGGCCUGGGAAGCUUUGCAGACACACUGAUGCAGAGCCUGCUGCCCGGAGCUGCUUCAGUCCGGGUGGCUAAGAACCUCCCCUCCGACGGUAUGUGAAGCCAAGUCAAAAGCCCACUGCUUCAAUGCUUGGGGUGGAAAUGAGUAAACUCUAGUUGGAAACAAGAGUACAGAGGCCCAGAGAGGCUUCCUCUUGUGUUUGGGUCACACAGCUCUUUGCUUGCACAGUGAUUGCAGUCCUGAUUUUCUUAGCCCAAAGUUGAUAUCCUUCAGAUACAGCUCUGAGCCCGGCUGAAUAUCAGAAUCACUAGGAGACUUGAAUCAGGACUGGAGUCUGGAUUUCAACCAAUAUCAGGCACUCUUCUUUCUAAAUCUCCUCCUGUGAAUGGAAUGUAAAAACUAGGUUUGAAGUCAAUUUUACUACCCUGCAAUCAACUGUCUCGAGCUCCCUGGAGUGCGUGUUGACAGGGUUGACUCUAGGACUCCACCUCGGCUCACCAAGGCACAGUGUGUGACCUGGGGUCCGGGAGCCGGGUUUGAAAUCCAGAUCAAGCCCUCUGGCAGGCCUUCCGUUGUGUCGUGAUGAGCGUCCUCCAUUCCGUACCCAAGCAUUUAAGGCUGAGUGGCUCUUCUGGUCCUCCCCGGGUCCCCUCCCUCCCUCUGUCUCUCCUCCUUCUCCCCCGCUCUUUUUGUGUGUAUGUGUCUGUGUAUUAAAAAACCACUCUGCUGUCUCGGAAUAGACUUAUUUUCG